RNAcentral lists this ribosomal RNA (1052 nucleotides) under Sphingobacterium thalpophilum. RNAcentral's name for it is "bacterial SSU rRNA". It matches the Rfam family "Bacterial small subunit ribosomal RNA", at positions 212 to 1266 of the family's 1533-position model. The record is from RNAcentral. Lineage: Bacteria; Pseudomonadati; Bacteroidota; Sphingobacteriia; Sphingobacteriales; Sphingobacteriaceae.
UUAUAGGAUGGAGAUGGGCUCGCGUGACAUUAGCUAGUUGGUGGGGUAACGGCCCACCAAGGCGACGAUGUCUAGGGGCUCUGAGAGGAGAAUCCCCCACACUGGUACUGAGACACGGACCAGACUCCUACGGGAGGCAGCAGUAAGGAAUAUUGGUCAAUGGGCGGAAGCCUGAACCAGCCAUGCCGCGUGCAGGAUGACUGCCCUAUGGGUUGUAAACUGCUUUUGUCCGGGAAUAAACCUCCUUACGAGUAGGGAGCUGAAUGUACCGGAAGAAUAAGGAUCGGCUAACUCCGUGCCAGCAGCCGCGGUAAUACGGAGGAUCCGAGCGUUAUCCGGAUUUAUUGGGUUUAAAGGGUGCGUAGGCGGCCUGUUAAGUCAGGGGUGAAAUACGGUGGCUCAACCAUCGCAGUGCCUUUGAUACUGACGGGCUUGAAUCCAUAUGAAGUGGGCGGAAUAAGACAAGUAGCGGUGAAAUGCAUAGAUAUGUCUUAGAACUCCGAUUGCGAAGGCAGCUCACUAAGCUGGUAUUGACGCUGAUGCACGAAAGCGUGGGGAUCGAACAGGAUUAGAUACCCUGGUAGUCCACGCCCUAAACGAUGAUAACUCGAUGUUGGCGAUAGACAGCCAGCGUCCCAGCGAAAGCGUUAAGUUAUCCACCUGGGGAGUACGCCCGCAAGGGUGAAACUCAAAGGAAUUGACGGGGGCCCGCACAAGCGGAGGAGCAUGUGGUUUAAUUCGAUGAUACGCGAGGAACCUUACCCGGGCUUGAAAGUUAGUGGAGGAUGCAUAGACGCAUCCGUCCUUCGGGACACGAAACUAGGUGCUGCAUGGCUGUCGUCAGCUCGUGCCGUGAGGUGUUGGGUUAAGUCCCGCAACGAGCGCAACCCCUAUGUUUAGUUGCCAGCAUGUUAUGGUGGGGACUCUAAACAGACUGCCUGUGCAAACAGUGAGGAAGGUGGGGACGACGUCAAGUCAUCAUGGCCCUUACGUCCGGGGCUACACACGUGCUGCAAUGGACGGUACAGCGGGCAGCUAGCUGGCAACAGCAU